AUUGAACGCUGGCGGCAUGCCUUACACAUGCAAGUCGAACGGCAGCACGGGUGCUUGCACCUGGUGGCGAGUGGCGAACGGGUGAGUAAUACAUCGGAACGUACCUUAUCGUGGGGGAUAACGCAGCGAAAGCUGUGCUAAUACCGCAUACGCCCUGAGGGGGAAAGCGGGGGAUCGCAAGACCUCGCGCGAUUAGAGCGGCCGAUGCCUGAUUAGCUUGUUGGUGGGGUAAAAGCCCACCAAGGCGACGAUCAGUAGCUGGUCUGAGAGGACGAUCAGCCAAACUGGGAAUGGGACACGGCGCAGACUCCUACGGGAGGCAGCAGUGGGGUAUUUUGGACAAGGGGGGCAACCCUGAUCCAGCAAGGCCGCGUGAGUGAAGAAGGCCUUCGGGUUGUAAAGCUCUUUUGUCAGGGAAGUAACACCGGCUCUAACACAGUCCGGGAAUGACGGUACCUGAAGAAUAAGCACCGGCUAACUACGUGCCAGCCGCCGCCGUAA
RNAcentral lists this ribosomal RNA (501 nucleotides) under uncultured bacterium. Its description in RNAcentral is "partial 16S ribosomal RNA". It matches the Rfam family "Bacterial small subunit ribosomal RNA", at positions 29 to 523 of the family's 1533-position model. The record is from RNAcentral.